AAAUUUUCCAAUUUUUCCUUUGAAACUCUCCGAAUUUGUCAUAAAAUGACUUUUUACCAAGAAGAAUGUAAACAAGCCGCCAUAAUGCCAACAGCCGAGUAGCAUCAGUCAACUUUAGGCGAAAUCAGAAAAUACAUGACUGUUGUUCCGUUGGAUCCCCGAGAAUUAGAUGUGCCUCACUGAAAACCCAACGUGCUCGGUCUCUAUUUGUCUCUG
This is a non-coding RNA of Bemisia tabaci, 216 nucleotides long. The record is from RefSeq and is a predicted model, not a curated record. NCBI's taxonomy places the organism in Eukaryota, Metazoa, Arthropoda, Insecta, Hemiptera, Aleyrodidae.